CCCGCUGAACUUAAGCAUAUUAUUCAGCGGAGGAAAAGAAAACAACCGUGAUUCCCUCAGUCAGGGGCGACCGAACAGGGACCGGACUCGUUGCCGAAUCGGGACCUCAAACGGUUUCGAGUUGUGGCAAAAACGCCGAUAAGUGGUUGGUGAGCGGACUGGUGAAAUUCAAUGUGCAAAGCAGACCCGUUGCUGGACACAACCUCUCAUGUGAGUAUUGAGCCAAAGACCGGUGGUAGCCCGUUGAGCCAGAAACCGCAGCCUCAUGAUACGGCAUCAAGAGAGUAGCACUGCUUGGGAAUGCAGUGUGAAGCGGCAGGUAUGUGUCUGCCAAAGUUAAAUACAGAGUAGGAAGACCGAUAGCGAACAAGUAGCGUGAGCGAAAGUUUGAAAAGCACUUUGGAAAGAGAGUGACAUAGAACCUGAAGUCGUGACAACGACAAUGGACGUACCUCCAUGACAUUUCGGUCAAGGCCGACCACCUGAGCAUUAUCCUUCGUGUGACGCGUAGCGACGGCGAGGGUAAACUAAGGUGCAGAACAGGGGUUCUGGUAAAACGAGCGGAAGUAAAGUGCAUUCGUCGGCAGCCGAGGCGUAAAAAACCUCGGAGGCCGUGAGGGUGCAUUUUUCCGUGAUGCUCAAAGCUUGACGCAGAGAAUGGGGUGCCUCCACCCGUCUUGAAACACGG
Molecule: ribosomal RNA, 688 nt
Filed under: uncultured fungus
Lineage: Eukaryota; Fungi
Description: partial 28S ribosomal RNA
Rfam family: Eukaryotic large subunit ribosomal RNA
Source: RNAcentral